RNAcentral lists this ribosomal RNA (253 nucleotides) under uncultured bacterium. RNAcentral describes it as "partial 16S ribosomal RNA". It matches the Rfam family "Bacterial small subunit ribosomal RNA", at positions 524 to 776 of the family's 1533-position model. The record is from RNAcentral.
CACGUAGGGCGCAAGCGUUGUCCGGAAUUAUUGGGCGUAAAGAGCUCGUAGGCGGUCUGUUGCGUCCGCUGUGAAAACUCGGGGCUUAACCCCGAGCCUGCAGUGGAUACUAUUCGGCUAGAGGGUUGGAGGGGGGACUGGAAUUCUCGGUAUAGCAGUGAAAUGCGUAGAUAUCGAGAGGAACACCAGUGGCGAAGGCGAGUCCCUGGACAACUCCUGACGCUGAGGCACGAAAGCUAGGGGAGCAAACAGG